UUCUUAAUUAACCAGCUCCUGGUACUUCUCGGAUCUCAGGAAGCGGCCGAAGGAGUCCUUCUCCAUCAGAGCAUAAAUUCUCUUCUGGGCCAGGUCAAAGGUUGUGGAGGAAAGGUCAACCAGGUUCCUCAGGGUCACAUCCUUGGUGUAAUGAUCAAUGUUCACCUUAAGGGAGGAAAAGUGAGAAGUAUGGGAGGGACGAGAGAGUCAGAGAGAGAGAGAGAGAGACAGAGAGAGACGGAGACAGGAAGGAUAAGAGAAUUUGGCAGUACGUCCAACUGGCCUCACAACCACAGACUACGUGUAACCACGCCAGCCCAGGACCUCCACAUCCGGCUUCUUCACCUGCGGGGUUGUCUGAGACCAGCCACCCGGACAGCUGAUGAAAGGACUCUACUAUAGUGGGAUUGCCGAGAGCUGAAGCGCAUAGAGUGUAAAAAUCAUCUGUCCUCGGUUGCAACACUCACUACCGAGUUCCAAAAUGCCUCUGGAAGCAAUGUCAGCACAAUAACUGUUCAUUGGGAGCUUCAUGAAAUGGCCAAGCAGCCUCACACAAGCCUAAGAUCACCAUGCGCAA
Oncorhynchus nerka (sockeye salmon) is the source of this 577-nucleotide long non-coding RNA. RefSeq lists it as uncharacterized. NCBI's taxonomy places the organism in Eukaryota, Metazoa, Chordata, Actinopteri, Salmoniformes, Salmonidae. The transcript has 3 exons. The record is from RefSeq and is a predicted model, not a curated record.